Molecule: ribosomal RNA, 240 nt
Filed under: uncultured bacterium
Lineage: Bacteria
Description: partial 16S ribosomal RNA
Rfam family: Bacterial small subunit ribosomal RNA
Source: RNAcentral
CCGGCAAACGGGUGCGGAACACGUACAGAACCUUCCUUUAAGCGGGGGACAGCCCGGAGAAAUCCGGAUUAAUACCCCAUAUUAUUAUUUGGUGGCAUCACCUGGUAAUUAAAGAUUUAUCACUUAGAGAUGGCUGUGCGGCUGAUUAGGUAGUUGGUGUGGGUAACGGCCCACCAAGCCUUCGAUCAGUAACUGGUGUGAGAGCACGACCAGUCACACGGGCACUGAGACACGGGCCCG